This is a long non-coding RNA of Oncorhynchus gorbuscha (pink salmon), 1329 nucleotides long. RefSeq lists it as uncharacterized. The record is from RefSeq and is a predicted model, not a curated record. The transcript has 3 exons. Lineage: Eukaryota; Metazoa; Chordata; Actinopteri; Salmoniformes; Salmonidae.
UUUGGAUUGUCGUCGUCGUCGAUAACAUAAACCAUAAAGGUGUAGUAAAAACCUAAAUCACUGCACCUUCAGUGGAGAGACCGCUGGUGAAAGCUGAAUUCAAACUCUGAGUCACCCAAACAAACUUGUGACAGUAACAGACUUGGAAGGGAAAUGUGGACCAUAUAGUUAGUGAGUAAAAGAGCUAGUUCAGCAGUAAUGGAAGAAAAGGAAGUGGAACUUUAAAUGAACUGCUGUCAUGAAUUGGGUCACCUCACCUCUGGUAAACAGAACUCGAAGACCAGACAGAAGAACCACAAUCUGGUCUGACGGACAUAGAAGAGAGAAUCACUGAUGUGUGUGUGUGUGUGUGUAGGAUUGUGUGAGGCAACGGUGAUAUCUGAAUGUUUACCUAUAGAAAGCCAUCCACAAUAAUCACCUGCAUAUCUAACACUCUUUAGUUCGUCCAAGUGAAUGAGAGAAGCCUAUCUAGCGGGGAGUGACCUAACUACAAUAUAUCGACUUGCACACACAGAACCUUGCAAGGUCACAAACACUCACAGACAUGACAGCAGUUGCGUGACUCUCCCUGUCAAAAACAAUUCAGACUUGUGUUGAAAGAAUUUCACUAUGUAACAUUUCGUGCCAGCAAUAGUAGCCCGAGCCAAGAAAUGGACAGAUCUUGAUGGGGCAUUUCGGCCAUCAAGGCCGAUAGCAAUCGUCAAAACAAAAGAGCAGACGAUGAGGACUUGUUGCUGAGCCGCACUAAGAGAUAAGAGUCAAUCAAAUGGAAUAAAUCAGCUGAAAAAUCCUGCUCUUCCGGUUCAGGGCAGUCAAUGGUGUGUUAGAGAAGGCUUAAUAGACAACUCUGCACCUUCUCCGUCAGUCAUAGUCAGCACUGUGACCAUCAGUCUGCCGGCAUCUCUGUAUCGCUACAAUGGAUCAGCAGCUAUCAGUCUGCACUGGGCCACCCAGGGAGAGCAGGCUACACUAUGCAACCUCACUGGAACCAAGAGAGAAUGGAACCAGCAGAGAGGGGAGGAAACUAUCUCUGGAAGAUGGCCACCGAGAGAGAGAAGCUGUGCUGAAAGAACCACGAAGACGAGUGACGCCUAAUUACUUGGUACGCUCACACUAACCAGAAGAAGAAAAAGACUGUUCCUGUCUCCCCUCCUCCCGCUGCUGUUGGCCUUCACAGAUUCCCAAAUUAUGCUCCUGAAGUUGCUGUUAAUAGGCUACACCAGUGAUCAGCAACCUUUUCCAUUUGGAGUGCCAAGUUAUGAUUUUCAUAUGCACUUUUUUGUGGAACAGUCUAAUUUCAUUUAUAAUAAAGUCUAAUAAAGUCUCAUA